AUGGCAACCCACAACUCCACUGGUAGCAGCCACUCACUCUUCAUUCUGCUGGGCAUUCCUGGCUUAGAAGACCAGCACACAUGGAUCUCUCUCUCCUUCUUUAUUUCCUACCUUGUUGCUUUCCUUGGGAACAGCCUCAUCAUCUUCAUCAUCAUCACUGAAUGCAGCCUCCACGAACCCAUGUACCUUUUCCUCUGCAUGCUGGCUGUGGCUGACCUCAUCCUGUCUACUACCACUGUGCCCAAGGCCCUAGCCAUAUUCUGGUUCUAUGCUGGAGCAAUAUCCCUUGAUGGCUGUGUUACCCAAAUCUUCUUUAUCCAUGCUACCUUCAUCACGGAAUCAGGAAUUCUGUUGGUGAUGGCACUUGACCGCUCUGUGGCCAUCUGUGAUCCACUGCACUAUACCACAGUGCUCAGUCGUGCAACAAUCAUAAAGAUUGGCUCGGCUGUGGUCCUGAGAAGCUUCUGUGUGAUAAUCCCAGAUGUGUUUCUGGUAAAGCGGCUGGCUUUCUGCCAUAGCAAUCUGCUGCCACAUACCUACUGUGAGCACAUGGCUGUUGCCAAGUUUGCUUGUGCUGAUAUUCGUGUCAAUGUUUGGUAUGGCUUGUCUGUCCUUCUCUCUACUGUAGUGCUAGAUGCCUUGCUUAUCUUAGUGUCCUAUAGCUUCAUCCUCUAUACAGUCUUCCACCUCCCCUCCCAAGGAGCUCAGCAAAAGGCUCUGGGCACAUGUGGCUCCCACUUCAGAGUCAUUUCCGUGUUCUACUUGCCUGGUAUUUUUACCAUAAUUACCCAGCGGUUUGGGCACCAUGUUCCUCUCCAUACACACAUUCUGCUGGCUAAUGUCUGCAUGUUGGCUCCUCCCAUGCUGAACCCCAUCAUUUAUGGGAUCAAGACCAGGCAGAUUCAAGAGCAUGUGCUCAGUCUUUUG
Molecule: small RNA, 927 nt
Filed under: Pongo abelii (Sumatran orangutan)
Lineage: Eukaryota; Metazoa; Chordata; Mammalia; Primates; Hominidae
Description: unitary pseudogene
Source: RNAcentral